UUGACGUCAUCACGGUAUUUGCUCGGUCUACAUUUGGGAAAGUACAAUGAUCUCACAUCAUCGGUUUUUUCCCCAAGUAUAGACAAAGAAACACCAAGAUAACGUGC
This 107-nucleotide microRNA precursor is filed under the name Arabis alpina (gray rockcress). RNAcentral's name for it is "miRNA ENSRNAG00050205177". The record is from RNAcentral. Lineage: Eukaryota; Viridiplantae; Streptophyta; Magnoliopsida; Brassicales; Brassicaceae.